This 1235-nucleotide long non-coding RNA is filed under the name Homo sapiens (human). RNAcentral's name for it is "HSALNT0199545". The record is from RNAcentral. Lineage: Eukaryota; Metazoa; Chordata; Mammalia; Primates; Hominidae.
GUUUUGUGGAGUGACGUGAGGAGAUGAGCUGGGGCAAGUGACACAAGAGGAUCUGUGGAGGAUGUGUUGAGGUGUCUGCCAGGGUGUUAGGUGUACUUUGAGAUAUUUUGGGGUAUGUUUGGGGUACCUGUGAAGGUGUCUGUGUGGGUGUCAGUGGGGAUCUUGUGGAUGUCUGUGGUGGUGUGUGUGGUUUGUGAGUUGUGUUGGUGAGGGUGAUUGUGGGGCAUCUGUUGGGUGUCUUUGAAGUGAGUCUAGAGUUUCUAUAAAGUGGGUGUGCAGAUAUUCAUGGGAUGCCUGUGGGGCAUCUGUGAGGGUCUAUGCAUUUGGGUUUGGGGAUUUUUUGUGGGGUGUUUCUGGUUGUCUGUGGGUCUGCCCUGUGGACAAGUGCCUGGGAAGGUGGUCUGUGUACCUGGGAAAUGACUUCUGUGGCUUUUCUGUGUGCUCUGCCUGUGGGUAGCUGUGUCUGUGAACUUAGCUCUAUGAAAGCAAGAAGCCUAUGAGAAUUCCGCCAGGGGCAAGCCUGGCCUUGGCGCUUCACUGUCUUAGCGUGUGUCUGGCCCUCCCAUUCCUGGCCAAGGCCCACAGCCACCACAGAUGACCUGCUGAUGCCUCUGCUGAAAUCCGUGGCCACUGGCCAACAGCUUGACAAGAGUGUCAGCUCCCUCCCGAGACGAAAUCAGAGGAAAACGCCUCUAGUUUCUAAGAAGCACACAGGGAGCCACUUCUUUACCGCUAGCUCCUGCAGGAUCUGUGGGAUCCUGCAGGUGCUGGUUUGCCUCCUGAGCCCUGUCCUAAGGACACUCUGCACAUCGCCUCCUGCUUCUGUGGCAAUUAUGGUGGCCAUGUGACUGACUUCUGGAGUAUGAGCAGAAGUGACACACAGCACUGAAGGCAUAGCACAUAAAAUCACCCUGAAUGACCACCCACUCCAUCUCUUCCCCAGAAUGCUGCCCGCUGCAGAGGACCCAAAGCCCUAGGGGGGAGCCUGGGUCCCCGAGUCACCCACCAAAUGCAUGCAAGGAGCUGUUACAUAAGCAGAAAGUGAAUUUCUAUUGUGAGAAGCCACUAAACUUGGGAGUUAUUCAUUAUAGCAGUUUGCCUGCCCUGACUAAUACAGACUGAUUCAUACUAAUAUGUUAUAUCUGAUUCUCUUAACAUUUUAUGUUUAGCUGAAAUGUUCAUCCUGACAUUUGCUAUGACUAGUUUAGGUUUCAUUCCUCUAUCCCCUGAACCAG